AACGAACGCUGGCAGCAUGCCUAACACAUGCAAGUCGAACGAGAUCUUCGGGUCUAGUGGCGCACGGGUGCGUAACGCGUGGGAAUCUGCCCUUUGGUUCGGAAUAACAGUUGGAAACGACUGCUAAUAUCGGAUGAUGACGAAAGUCCAAAGAUUUAUCGCCAGAGGAUGAGCCCGCGUAGGAUUAGCUAGUUGGUGUGGUAAAGGCGCACCAAGGCGACGAUCCUUAGCUGGUCUGAGAGGAUGAUCAGCCACACGGGGACUGAGACACGGCCCAGACUCCUACGGGAGGCAGCAGUGGGGAAUAUUGGACAAUGGGCGAAAGCCUGAUCCAGCAAUGCCGCGUGAGUGAUGAAGGCCUUAGGGUUGUAAAGCUCUUUUACCCGGGAUGAUAAUGACAGUACCGGGAGAAUAAGCUCCGGCUAACUCCGUGCCAGCCGCCGCCGUAA
This 449-nucleotide ribosomal RNA is filed under the name uncultured bacterium. Its description in RNAcentral is "partial 16S ribosomal RNA". It matches the Rfam family "Bacterial small subunit ribosomal RNA", at positions 29 to 523 of the family's 1533-position model. The record is from RNAcentral.